Molecule: ribosomal RNA, 490 nt
Filed under: uncultured bacterium
Lineage: Bacteria
Description: partial 16S ribosomal RNA
Rfam family: Bacterial small subunit ribosomal RNA
Source: RNAcentral
GAUGAACGCUAGCUACAGGCUUAACACAUGCAAGUCGCGGGGCAGCAUGGGGGUUGCUUGCAAUCCCCGAUGGCGACCGGCGCACGGGUGAGUAACGCGUAUCCAACCUGCCCUUCACCACGGGAUAACCCGGCGAAAGUCGGACUAAUACCUUAUGUUGUCCAUUGACGGCAUCCGAUUUGGACGAAAGGUUUGGCGGUGAAGGUUGGGGAUGCGUCCGAUUAGCUGGACGGCGGGGUGACGGCCCACCGUGGCGACGAUCGGUAGGGGUUCUGAGAGGAAGGUCCCCCACACUGGAACUGAGACACGGUCCAGACUCCUACGGGAGGCAGCAGUGAGGAAUAUUGGUCAAUGGGCGUAAGCCUGAACCAGCCAAGUAGCGUGCAGGAUGACGGCCCUAUGGGUUGUAAACUGCUUUUAUGCGGGGAUAAAGUGGCCCACGUGUGGGUUUUUGCAGGUACCGCAUGAAUAAGGACCGGCUAAUUCCGUG